This 409-nucleotide long non-coding RNA is filed under the name Vombatus ursinus (common wombat). RNAcentral describes it as "lncRNA (ENSVURG00010007448.1)". The record is from RNAcentral. Lineage: Eukaryota; Metazoa; Chordata; Mammalia; Diprotodontia; Vombatidae.
GUAUAUUUUUAGGUACCUAAAGAAUUCUGAGAGAAUUGGAGAAUUCUAGAGAACUUUAGACUUCUGUGUGACUUCUUUUUCCUGUGGAUGAUGUAUGGUAGAACAUGUAAAUUCACUGUGGUCUUCUCUAAGGUGGAAACUUUUGAGACAUCAAGAGUCCCUAGUUAGUUCUCAUGGCAACAUCUUCAACAACUCUUCAGGAUAUAGGCUUCACAUAACAGCUUAUUUCAUCAAAAGAGGGAUUCACCUUCAUUAUAUUGUGGGGAAACUGAAUUAUGGGUGAAAAAAAUAGAAUCAAAGAUAAAUAACACAAGCAAAUUACAAUUAGGUAAGAACACUAUGGAAAUUUCUAUUGGCUCAUUCACUUCAGAUAUAGAGGACAAGAAGAAUAAAUAUCAAGCUUCCUCCA